This 444-nucleotide long non-coding RNA is filed under the name Triticum aestivum (bread wheat). RNAcentral's name for it is "long non-coding RNA (TAES_LNC003930)". Lineage: Eukaryota; Viridiplantae; Streptophyta; Magnoliopsida; Poales; Poaceae. The record is from RNAcentral.
GUGGCCCCUGCUCCGCCAAUGUGAACCACGCCGUCACCAUCGUCGGCUACUGCGAGGGUCCCGGCGAGGGAAACAAGUACUGGAUUGCCAAGAACUCGUGGAGCAACGACUGGGGUGAACAAGGAUAUGUCUACCUCGCAAAGGACGUGCCCUCGUCCACGGGCACAUGUGGCCUCGCCACCUCGCCCUUCUACCCCACGGCUUGACCACAGGCAGCACUAUGUGUGAUAUCUAAGGAAUUGCUUCCGUUUCGUUGUGAUAAUGCUAAAUUAUUAUUUUGAUUAUACUUCCCUUUAAUUUGAUCAAUAAUAGGUAGACCAUGCGUGCAAUAUAUCAUGGCCUGAGUAAUAAAGUUUCGAGUGAAUUACACUUUUUACAAGUUAAUUGUGCAAUUUUUUGUGACACGUAUUUACCGAUUUAGCAGAUGUUGCAUCGAAAUGUCCC